CGGGAGUGUGGGGACGGUAAAGAGCUCCGGCAGCUCGGAGGUGACGGCUCUGAGCGUGAGAAGGCCGCCGGCUCCCGAGAAAUCCCCCUCCUCCGGGUUGUCCUUCGGAGUGUGGUUUAAAGUUCAGGAGCUGGUGGGAGGGUGAGGUGACGUCGAGAGGGUCGGUCGCCCGGGAGCACCUGGAGGCGGGCCGGGCGGCCUCCUGGCUGGGGGGGGUGGGGUGUGGAGAACGGCCCGGGGUUUUCGAUAGGUAGUUCCCCCUCUUCCCGAUUUCGCACAUGCAAAUCUCCACCCCCGCGCCGGGGCGCGUUGGAGCGCGGGCGUCCCGGCGUGCCCUCGAGGGGAAGUGCGGAAGCGGCCGUCGGCGAGGUUCGUUUGUAAUUCGUGUAUUUGCAUAGGGGACCCCCGCAGUCUGAUUUUCCUUCUUUAUAUCUACAUUUUGAGGGCUUGGUUAACUACGUAUUUUAUCUACUAAAACCUUUUAAACUCAAACGGUCUGCACUGCGAGUUCCUCGUUACGCAGUGAGUGGACACUAUAUCUUGAGAUUUGACAGAUACCCAUGAGGAAGGGGACGCUGAAACGAGCAUUUAGUGCAUUAAAGGAUCCAUUAUAACUUUAUUUUUUUCAUUUGCUAAUAAACACCUGUUGCCUUGUCUAGUAUGUGUUGAUAUCUUCAUUUUGUAAACGAGUUAAUAAGGAUUUGGAGAAAUUAAGUACUUCAGAACGCUGGUUAAAGGGAAAACAGUUUAAACCCAAAGUUAUCUGAUUCCAAGUCUCCACGCCUUUUCUCUGGUCCCGUGGUGCCAAAAAUAACUAUUUGGAGAGGAAAGGAAUGGGGAAUAUUAACCUGCUUUAUGAGUG
RNAcentral lists this long non-coding RNA (862 nucleotides) under Marmota monax (woodchuck). Lineage: Eukaryota; Metazoa; Chordata; Mammalia; Rodentia; Sciuridae. The record is from RNAcentral.